ACGUACAAGCAGUGGGAGCACCCUUCGGGGUGUGACUGCGUACCUUUUGUAUAAUGGGUCAGCGACUUAUAUUCUGUAGCAAGGUUAACCGAAUAGGGGAGCCGGAGGGAAACCGAGUCUUAAUUGGGCGUUAAGUUGCAGGGUAUAGACCCGAAACCCGGUGAUCUAGCCAUGGGCAGGUUGAAGGUUGGGUAACACUAACUGGAGGACCGAACCGACUAAUGUUGAAAAAUUAGCGGAUGACCUGUGGCUGGGGGUGAAAGGCCAAUCAAACCGGGAGAUAGCUGGUUCUCCCCGAAAGCUAUUUAGGUAGCGCCUCGUGAAUUCAUCUCCGGGGGUAGAGCACUGUUUCGGCUAGGGGGCCAUCCCGGCUUACCAACCCGAUGCAAACUGCGAAUACCGGAGAAUGUUAUCACGGGAGACACACGGCGGGUGCUAACGUCCGUCGUGAAGAGGGAAACAACCCAGACCGCCAGCUAAGGUCCCAAAGUCAUGGUUAAGUGGGAAACGAUGUGGGAAGGCCCAGACAGCCAGGAUGUUGGCUUAGAAGCAGCCAUCAUUUAAAGAAAGCGUAAUAGCUCACUGGUCGAGUCGGCCUGCGCGGAAGAUGUAACGGGGCUAAACCAUGCACCGAAGCUGCGGCAGCGACACUGUGUGUUGUUGGGUAGGGGAGCGUUCUGUAAGCCUGCGAAGGUGGCCUGUGAGGG
RNAcentral lists this ribosomal RNA (707 nucleotides) under Salmonella enterica subsp. enterica serovar Indiana. Its description in RNAcentral is "partial 23S ribosomal RNA". It matches the Rfam family "Bacterial large subunit ribosomal RNA", at positions 562 to 1269 of the family's 2925-position model. Lineage: Bacteria; Pseudomonadati; Pseudomonadota; Gammaproteobacteria; Enterobacterales; Enterobacteriaceae. The record is from RNAcentral.